Molecule: long non-coding RNA, 640 nt
Organism: Macadamia integrifolia
Lineage: Eukaryota; Viridiplantae; Streptophyta; Magnoliopsida; Proteales; Proteaceae
Exons: 3
Source: RefSeq, a predicted model, not a curated record
CAAAUUCGUUUGGGAGAGGGAGGGGAGAAGAAAGGAAGGAGAAAAGAAGAAGAAGAGAGGGAAGGAAUGCUGGCUUGGGGCAGAUUCUUGGAGCUAAUGCGUACGGCUACUGUCCUAUUGCUGUUGCUGCCCCUACUGUGCUCUACUGCUGUAGCUAAGAGUGUCAUGCAAGUGGUGUAUAUUUCUGCUUCUAUGCUGUUUUUGUACUACCUCAAAUUCUGAAGUUCCUUGGAGAAGCAAGCUGAAUUGGGAGCUGGAAAGUUCAUGUUGCUGCCCCUGUUGCUGCACCUGCUGUACCUACUGCUAUACCUACACAUAUGGAAUCUAAACUAUCGGACGAGGACACAUCAUUGGUCACGGGGAAUCUAUCGUACUUUUUGAUUGGGUAUUGAGAUGGUGGAACCGGUACUGAGACAAGAUUGGACUUUGGUGAUGGUUGUGAGGUUUGUGUCUACGAGACACCGGAUUGCUGAUGGACUUCACUUCUGGUAUUUCAGUUAUUUCUUCUGAUGUAAAUAUUGAUGAAAUAUGUAAGAUGUAAAUAUUAUACAUGUGGCUUUGUAAACAAAUGGGUCUCGUAUAUUUGUUACUUAUCAUGUAGUUGAUCACUAGUAAUAUUUGUUAUUUUAUAUGCGUACUA